AGAUUGCAAGCUGCAACUCGCCUGUAUGAAGUUGGAAUUGCUAGUAAUCGCGGAUCAGCAUGCCGCGGUGAAUACGUUCCCGGGCCUUGUACACACCGCCCGUCACACCAUGAGAGCCGGUAAUACCCGAAGUCAGUAUCCUAACCGCAAGGAGGGAGCUGCCGAAGGUAGGAUUGGCGAUUGGGGUGAAGUCGUAACAAGGUACC
RNAcentral lists this ribosomal RNA (206 nucleotides) under uncultured bacterium. RNAcentral's name for it is "partial 16S ribosomal RNA". It matches the Rfam family "Bacterial small subunit ribosomal RNA", at positions 1295 to 1500 of the family's 1533-position model. The record is from RNAcentral.